UUAAGUUUCGGCCUUGCGACUAUACUUCCCAGGUAGCACACUCUUCGGCUUCCCUGCAGCACCAAUACCUCUCGAGGAGGUACUGAUGUUUAGUGUGCAGUGUUUACUGCCAGGAAUACACGGGUAUCUAAUCCGCUUGACGACCCUGGCCUUCAUCCCUCACUGUCGGAUCCGUUCUCGUAAGGUGCUUUCGCUCUUGUUAGUCCGUCCAAGCUUAACAUAUUUUACCAUUACUUUGGACGUACUCCUUACGUCUCCCGGUCCCUAGCUAAGUAGUUUCUUUUGCUCGCCUGACACUUAAGAUGCCAGAUUUCACAAAAGACUUACUUAACAAGCUACGGAUGUUUUAGACCCAAUAAUAGUGGCUGCAACUUGGACCGCUAGUAUUACCGCGGCGGCUGGCACUAGUCUCUCCCAGUCCUUAUUCAUGUACCUUUUUACAGUACAUAAAAGUCCUUCAAUAGAAGGACACUCUGGCUCACUCUGUCACACUUUCGUGCAUUGCAGAAGAUUCCUGACUGCUGCCCUCCAUAGAGGUGGGAGUAGUGUCUCAGACUCCCUCUCAGGGCCCCUCCGCUAAGAGCCCUUACGGAUCGUCGGCUUGGUGGGCUUUUAUCCCGCCAACAACCUAAUCCGCCGCAGCCUCAUCCUUAAGCGCGUGUUUAAGAGAUAUAUCAUUCCAGGGUAUAUCUCAUAUCAAGUAUUAUCCUCAGUUUCCCGAGGUUAUCCCUGACUUAAGGGUAGAUUAGCUACGUGUUACGGAACCGUUCGCUUUCCAAUGACGAAUCAAUGGAAGAACUCGCAUGCCUCAGUGCAAGCCAGAUAGCUGCAGCC
Molecule: ribosomal RNA, 834 nt
Filed under: euryarchaeote D4.75-18
Lineage: Archaea; Methanobacteriati; Methanobacteriota
Description: partial 16S ribosomal RNA
Source: RNAcentral